GUCGGGUGUGAAAUCUCGGAGCUUAACUCCGAAACUGCCAUUGAAACUAUGUGUCUUGAGUACAUUUGAGGCGGGCGGAAUGUGUCAUGUAGAGGUGAAAUUCUUAGAUAUGACACAGAACACCAAUUGCGAAGGCAGCUCGCUAAACUGUAACUGACGCUGAGGCACGAAAGCGUGGGGAUCAAACAGG
Molecule: ribosomal RNA, 190 nt
Filed under: uncultured organism
Description: partial 16S ribosomal RNA
Rfam family: Bacterial small subunit ribosomal RNA
Source: RNAcentral